UGGCUCAGGAUGAACGCUAGCUACAGGCUUAACACAUGCAAGUCGAGGGGCAGCAUCAUCAAAGCUUGCUUUGAUGGAUGGCGACCGGCGCACGGGUGAGUAACACGUAUCCAACCUGCCGACAACACUGGGAUAGCCUUUCGGAAGAAAGAUUAAUACCGGAUGGCAUAGUUUUCCCGCAUGGGAUAAUUAUUAAAGAAUUUCGGUUGUCGAUGGGGAUGCGUUCCAUUAGGCAGUUGGCGGGGUAACGGCCCACCAAACCAACGAUGGAUAGGGGUUCUGAGAGGAAGGUCCCCCACAUUGGAACUGAGACACGGUCCAAACUCCUACGGGAGGCAGCAGUGAGGAAUAUUGGUCAAUGGACGAGAGUCUGAACCAGCCAAGUAGCGUGAAGGAUGACUGCCCUAUGGGUUGUAAACUUCUUUUAUACGGGAAUAAAGUGAGCCACGUGUGGCUUUUUGUAUGUACCGUAUGAAUAAGGAUCGGCUAACUCCGUGCCAGCAGCCGCGGUAAUACGGAGGAUCCGAGCGUUAUCCGGAUUUAUUGGGUUUAAAGGGAGCGUAGGCGGGUUGUUAAGUCAGUUGUGAAAGUUUGCGGCUCAACCGUAAAAUUGCAGUUGAUACUGGCGACCUUGAGUGCAACAGAGGUAGGCGGAAUUCGUGGUGUAGCGGUGAAAUGCUUAGAUAUCACGAAGAACUCCGAUUGCGAAGGCAGCUUACUGGAUUGUAACUGACGCUGAUGCUCGAAAGUGUGGGUAUCAAACAGGAUUAGAUACCCUGGUAGUCCACACAGUAAACGAUGAAUACUCGCUGUUGGCGAUAUACAGUCAGCGGCCAAGCGAAAGCAUUAAGUAUUCCACCUGGGGAGUACGCCGGCAACGGUGAAACUCAAAGGAAUUGACGGGGGCCCGCACAAGCGGAGGAACAUGUGGUUUAAUUCGAUGAUACGCGAGGAACCUUACCCGGGCUUAAAUUGCAACUGACUGAACCGGAAACGGUUCUUUCUUCGGACAGUUGUGAAGGUGCUGCAUGGUUGUCGUCAGCUCGUGCCGUGAGGUGUCGGCUUAAGUGCCAUAACGAGCGCAACCCUUAUCGAUAGUUACUAGCAGGUCAUGCUGAGGACUCUAUUGAGACUGCCGUCGUAAGAUGUGAGGAAGGUGGGGAUGACGUCAAAUCAGCACGGCCCUUACGUCCGGGGCUACACACGUGUUACAAUGGGGGGUACAGAAGGCAGCUACACGGCGACGUGGUGCUAAUCCCGAAAGCCUCUCUCAGUUCGGAUUGGAGUCUGCAACCCGACUCCAUGAAGCUGGAUUCGCUAGUAAUCGCGCAUCAGCCACGGCGCGGUGAAUACGUUCCCGGGCCUUGUACACACCGCCCGUCAAGCCAUGAAAGCCGGGGGUACCUGAAGUACGUAACCGCAAGGAGCGUCCUAGGGUAAAACUGGUG
This 1448-nucleotide ribosomal RNA is filed under the name uncultured organism. Its description in RNAcentral is "SSU rRNA". It matches the Rfam family "Bacterial small subunit ribosomal RNA". The record is from RNAcentral.